AGAGUUUGAUCCUGGCUCAGGAUGAAUGCUGGCGGCGUGCUUUAUAUAUGCAAGUCGAGCGACGUGUUCCAGCUUGCUGGAAUUACGAGCGGCAGACGGGUGAGUAAUGCGUAGGAAUCUACCCUGAAGUGGGGGACAACCAGCCGAAAGGUUGGCUAAUACCGCAUGUGCCCCGAUGUAACAUCGGGGUAAAGAUUUAUCGCUUCAGGAGGAGCCUGCGUCCUAUCAGCUUGUUGGUGGGGUAAAAGCCUACCAAGGCGACGACGGGUAGCUGGUCUGAGAGGAUGGUCAGCCACAACGGCACUGAGACACGGGCCGUACAUCUACGGAUGGCGCAGUAGGGAAUCGUUGACAAUGGGCGAAAGCCUGAUCACGCGACGCCGCGUGGGGGAUUGAAGGCCUUCGGGUCGUAAACUCCUUUUGCGAGGGAAGAUUAUGACGGUACCUCGCGAAUAAGCACCUGCUAAUCACGUGCCAGAAGCCUCGGUAAGACGUGAGGUGCGAGCAUUAUCCGGAUUCACUGGGCGUAAAAGGUUGCGUAGGCUGUCCGAUGCAUUUUAUUUGAAAUGCUGUGGCUUAACCACAGAUUUGGAUAAAAUAUGAUCGGACUUGAUGACUAAAGGGGGUACUGGAACUCUACAUGUAGCAGUGAAAUGCGUUGAUAUGUAGAGGAACACCAAAGGCGUAGGCAGGUACCUGGGUAGUUCAUGACGCUGAGGCACGAAAGCAUGGGGAGCGAAGCAGAUUAGAGACCUGCGUAGUCCAUGCCGUAAACGAUCCUUGCUAGAUGGGAAGAUUUUUCCUCCUGUCGUAAGCUAACGCGUUAAGCAAGGUGCCUGGGGAGUACGAACGCAAGUUUAAAACUCAAAGGAAUUGACGGGGAGGCGCACAAGCAGUGGAGCGUGUUGUUUAAUUCGAGGAAAAGCGAAAAACCUCACCAGGGUUUGACAUGUACUUGCAAAUCCCAUGAAAGUGGGACUCCUUCGAGGGUAGUACACAGAUGCUGCAUGGCCGUCGUCAGCUCGUGGCGUGAGCUGUACCGUUAAGUCGGGUAACGAGCGCAACCCGCACCGUAUGUUAGAUAAUUCAUGCGGAACUGCCUCACAAAUGUGAGGAGGAAGGCGCGGAUGAUGUCAGGUCAGCACGGCUCUUACACCCUGGGCUACAAACACCCUACAAUGGCGAAAAACAACGAGCUGCAAGCCGGUAACGGCAAGCUAAUCUCUGAAAUUUCGCCUCAGUUCAGAUCGAGGGCUGCAACUCGCCCUCGUGAAGUCGGAAUUGCUAGUAAUCGCGAAUCAGCAGGUCGCGGUGAAUACGUUCUCGCCUCUUGUACACACCGCCCGUC
Molecule: ribosomal RNA, 1348 nt
Filed under: uncultured bacterium
Lineage: Bacteria
Description: bacterial SSU rRNA
Rfam family: Bacterial small subunit ribosomal RNA
Source: RNAcentral